GAUGAAGAACGUAGCGAAACGCGAUAGUUAAUGUGAAUUGCAGAAUUCAGUGAAUCAUCGAGUCUUUGAACGCACAUUGCGCCCAUUGGUAUUCCGUUGGGCAUGUCUGUUUGAGCGUCAUUACAACAGUUGAGCGUAAGCUGGUUAUGAGUUCUGUUUUUUUAAACAAAAAACAGGCUUUAAAAUGUAUGUUCUGCAGGUCGCUUUGCUAAACCCUAAACAUUAAAUACUGUUCUAGUGAAGCAUUUGCGACUCUGCCUGAAAAAAAACUUUUGUUAAAGUUUGACCUCAGAUCAGACAAGGAUACCCGCUGAACUUAAGCAUAUCAAUAAGCGGAGGA
Molecule: unclassified non-coding RNA, 340 nt
Filed under: soil metagenome
Description: partial contains 5.8S ribosomal RNA, internal transcribed spacer 2, and large subunit ribosomal RNA
Rfam family: 5.8S ribosomal RNA (bases 1-120)
Source: RNAcentral